This is a long non-coding RNA of Oryzias melastigma (Indian medaka), 378 nucleotides long. RefSeq lists it as uncharacterized. NCBI's taxonomy places the organism in Eukaryota, Metazoa, Chordata, Actinopteri, Beloniformes, Adrianichthyidae. The record is from RefSeq and is a predicted model, not a curated record. The transcript is spliced from 4 exons.
CUUCCUGUUUGUUCGCGGCAUUAGCCUCCGUCCCGAGAGGAGUGAACACCCUCAUUCUGGAUGGCAAUCCCUGAGUCAGAUGCAUUAUUUAGAUGGAGACGGCAACUUCAUCAGAUCAACGGCCGGAUCGGCAAACUUCUCCAAAGAAGCAGCCCCUCCCUUACGACGACAUGCUGCUGCCUCUAGGAUGACGUAAUGAAAUGGACGGGACCCACUUGCAGCGGCAGGUGGAGCCUCAGGAAUCGAGUCCUUUUACUUCCAGGUAGGAAAAAAACUCCCUAAAAUAACUCAUAUUUUAUCAUUUGCUUUUUAGUGUACCAAAGGUAAUGUAUAAUCAUUCAUUCGUUCAUCUUCUUGGCUGCUCUGUCCCUUUUGGGG